UACGUAGGGGGCAAGCGUUGUCCGGAUUUAUUGGGCGUAAAGAGCGUGUAGGCGGCUUUGCAAGUCCGUUGUGAAAACUCGAGGCUCAACCUCGAGACGCCGGUGGAAACUGCAAAGCUAGAGUCCGGAAGAGGAGAGUGGAAUUCCUGGUGUAGCGGUGAAAUGCGCAGAUAUCAGGAAGAACACCCGUGGCGAAGGCGGCUCUCUGGGACGGUACUGACGCUGAGACUCGAAAGCGUGGGGAGCGAACAGG
Molecule: ribosomal RNA, 253 nt
Filed under: uncultured bacterium
Lineage: Bacteria
Description: partial 16S ribosomal RNA
Rfam family: Bacterial small subunit ribosomal RNA
Source: RNAcentral